GAUGAACGCUGGCGGCGUGCCUAAUACAUGCAAGUCGAGCGAACAGACGAGAGUGCUUGCACUCUCUGACGUUAGCGGCGGACGGGUGAGUAACACGUGGGUAACCUACCUAUAAGACUGGGAUAACUUCGGGAAACCGGAGCUAAUACCGGAUAAUAUUUAGCUUCGCAUGAAGCAAUAGUGAAAGACGGUUCUGCUGUCACUUAUAGAUGGACCCGCGGUGUAUUAGCUAGUUGGUGAGGUAACGGCUCACCAAGGCAACGAUACAUAGCCGACCUGAGAGGGUGAUCGGCCACACUGGGACUGAGACACGGCCCAGACUCCUACGGGAGGCAGCAGUAGGGAAUCUUCCGAAAUGGACGAAAGUCUGACGGAGCAAUGCCGCGUGAGUGAAGAAGGUUUUCGGAUCGUAAAACUCUGUUGUAAGGGAAGAACAAGUACGUUAGUAACUGAACGUACCUUGACGGUACCUUACCAGAAAGCCACGGCUAACUACGUG
RNAcentral lists this ribosomal RNA (499 nucleotides) under uncultured bacterium. RNAcentral describes it as "partial 16S ribosomal RNA". It matches the Rfam family "Bacterial small subunit ribosomal RNA", at positions 28 to 507 of the family's 1533-position model. The record is from RNAcentral.